This 701-nucleotide long non-coding RNA is filed under the name Homo sapiens (human). Its description in RNAcentral is "HSALNT0081162". Lineage: Eukaryota; Metazoa; Chordata; Mammalia; Primates; Hominidae. The record is from RNAcentral.
CUUUUGCUUCUGCUGUUUAUCAAGUGCCUUUAUAUGAAAAAAAUCCUUAUAUCAAAGAGGAAUCUGAAGCCACCUUAAGGCAAAGGAAUGACUUCCAUGGAAUACAGAUGAAGUUGGUAAAAGGAAAUACAAAGGAGAAAAAGUACAUUUGUUCUGUUCUAUGACUAUUACUCUGAUACACUGGUAAUGCUAUGAUGAUGGAAGGAACAAAUAAAUGUCUCAGGAUCUUGAUCUUCUGAUAAUAGAGAGGGAAGUUAACAGUUCCUGUAUUUACAGGAACUGUAAUAGAGAGGGAAGUUCCUGUAUUUACAGGAAGAAUUUUAGCAGGGUAAACUUCAAAACCAGUAAAGGCUUGCGUGUUGCUACCAUAAAAAAGAACAAGAAAGCCAACCACAAAAAUUAAACACUAAAUUGAGCAAAGAAAGAAAAGGCAAUAUUACUACUGAAGUAUUAGAGAGCACUCACUACUUCCCUAUUUUACCUGCAUGUAUAACCUAUGACGUUACUCAUUUAUUUCUCUGUAUGUCAUUUGAGAAGUGACUUAUGGAGAGAGAAUAGAUAAAAUAGCAUUCCUUAAUUAAAUAUGGUAGGAUGCAACGUAUACAUGACUAAUUUGGGAUAAUAUUUCUUGUGUGUGUGUGUGUGUGUGUGUGUGUGUGUGUUUGAUAGAGUCUCGCACUGUCGCCCAGGCUGGAGUGCAG